This 231-nucleotide long non-coding RNA is filed under the name Capsicum annuum. Its description in RNAcentral is "long non-coding RNA (CANN_LNC012617)". The record is from RNAcentral. Lineage: Eukaryota; Viridiplantae; Streptophyta; Magnoliopsida; Solanales; Solanaceae.
AAUAAUCUCAGGACUCAUUUCAAAAUUCAAAGCAAUCAAAGGUGUAACAUAUGAGAAACUAGAUCCAGGAUCCAACAAAGCAUACACAUCAAACUAAAAUAUACGAAGCAUACCAGUAACAACAUCGGGAGAGUCCUCUUGUUCCUGGUGGGACGGUAAAGCAUAGAAUCUAUUCUGGCGCUACCCGCCAACAUUGCUAGAAGAGGCGCCCUGAGCUGGGGCUGGGCGAGU